CAGUAGCCGCGGUAAUACGUAGGGUGCAAGCGUUAAUCGGAAUUACUGGGCGUAAAGCGUGCGCAGGCGGUUUGUUAAGACAGAUGUGAAAUCCCCGGGCUCAACCUGGGAACUGCAUUUGUGACUGGCAAGCUAGAGCGUGGCAGAGGGGGGUGGAAUUCCGCGUGUAGCAGUGAAAUGCGUAGAUAUGCAGAGGAACACCGAUGGCGAAGGCAGCCCCCUGGGCCAACACUGACGCUCAUGCACGAAAGCGUGGGGAGCAAACAGGAUUAGAUACCCCCGUAGUCCCUGUCUCUUAUAA
Molecule: ribosomal RNA, 301 nt
Filed under: uncultured bacterium
Lineage: Bacteria
Description: partial 16S ribosomal RNA
Rfam family: Bacterial small subunit ribosomal RNA
Source: RNAcentral